CAAUUGGCUUAGUAUAAAAACAAGAAAGAGGGUUCAAAUGGCUAGCCUAGCGCCCUCCAAAGUUAAAAACAAAAUACACCUACCAGCCUCUCUAAAUUUCACAAAUUAACAAGACUCCAAUUAGUGAGGGCUUUAAAGGUGCUUGAAGGUGCAUUAGUUUGAAGUUUGGACAGACCCAGGCUAGCUGUUUCACGCUGCUUCCAGUCUUUAUGCUAAAUUAAGCUAACCUCCUCCUAGUUUCCCCAUUGCCAGACCUUCCUCCACAGCGCUUCAGGAAACGAUCGGAGAGAUAGUUCAGCAAGCUGUCACCAGCAGAGAUCCCGUUUUCCCAAAUGUUGGACUGCUCCUAUAUGUUUGGCACAGCUUUUUUUAAACAGUCCAUCAGAUCUUGAAUCUUUGGAUGAAUAUCUGUUUUAAAUGGUUACUUACCCGUUGCGAUAAUAACCCAUGCAGAUUGAAUUUGUUUUGUGCGGCUCAAAGCUUAAAAAAGAACAUUUGAAAAAACUGAAAGUAGAUUUUUGACCUUGGAAAAUUUAACUCAAAAAAAUUGUUUAAAGCUGAGAUACAAACUCCAUUAUUUUUCCUUAAAGGAUUUCCUGUCCAUGUUACUCUGUGUUGGACAUUUGAACAUCAACCACACCUGCUGAUCAGAAGCUAGAUGGACAUUAAUGGUCCAUGUUGCUAAAGGAGAAACAAUCCAGAGCAGAACGAGAUGGGCUGCAGCAGCGAUCGGUUUACAGACGCACACACGGUGGAGGCCUUCAGAAGGAGACAGAUCAGGGAUCUGCAGGGUUCCUACUCACGGCUAAACAAAAAUGUUUUGAAAAGUCUGGAGCAGGACGUUCAUGAUUUCAGGGCUGUGUUAGGAUAAUAGGUUGCGGGAAAUGUUAAAUGAAAUACAUUCAGCUUCAGGUCAAGCAAACUCUAGUUUCUGCGGGAACGCCAGAUCUUUACAAACACGGAACUUUUCUUUUCUGACGUUGAGA
This is a long non-coding RNA of Etheostoma cragini (Arkansas darter), 986 nucleotides long. RefSeq lists it as uncharacterized. The transcript is spliced from 2 exons. Lineage: Eukaryota; Metazoa; Chordata; Actinopteri; Perciformes; Percidae. The record is from RefSeq and is a predicted model, not a curated record.